AGACCCGAAACCCGGUGAUCUAGCCAUGGGCAGGUUGAAGGUUGGGUAACACUAACUGGAGGACCGAACCGACUAAUGUUGAAAAAUUAGCGGAUGACCUGUGGCUGGGGGUGAAAGGCCAAUCAAACCGGGAGAUAGCUGGUUCUCCCCGAAAGCUAUUUAGGUAGCGCCUCGUGAAUUCAUCUCCGGGGGUAGAGCACUGUUUCGGCUAGGGGGCCAUCCCGGCUUACCAACCCGAUGCAAACUGCGAAUACCGGAGAAUGUUAUCACGGGAGACACACGGCGGGUGCUAACGUCCGUCGUGAAGAGGGAAACAACCCAGACCGCCAGCUAAGGUCCCAAAGUCAUAGUUAAGUGGGAAACGAUGUGGGAAGGCCCAGACAGCCAGGAUGUUGGCUUAGAAGCAGCCAUCAUUUAAAGAAAGCGUAAUAGCUCACUGGUCGAGUCGGCCUGCGCGGAAGAUGUAACGGGGCUAAACUAUGCACCGAAGCUGCGGCAGCGACACUAUGUGUUGUUGGGUAGGGGAGCGUUCUGUAAGCCUGUGAAGGUGUGUCGUGAGGCAUGCUGGAGGUAUCAGAAGUGCGAAUGCUGACAUAAGUAACGAUAAAGCGGGUGAAAAGCCCGCUCGCCGGAAGACCAAGGGUUCCUGUCCAACGUUAAUCGGGGCAGGGUGAGUCGACCCCUAAGGCGAGGCCGAAAGGCGUAGUCGAUGGGAAACGGGUUAAUAUUCCCGUACUUGGUGUUACUGCGAAGGGGGGACGGAGAAGGCUAUGUUGGCCGGGCGACGGUUGUCCCGGUUUAAGCGUGUAGGUGUGUGUUCCAGGUAAAUC
RNAcentral lists this ribosomal RNA (830 nucleotides) under Salmonella enterica. RNAcentral describes it as "bacterial LSU rRNA". It matches the Rfam family "Bacterial large subunit ribosomal RNA", at positions 711 to 1542 of the family's 2925-position model. RNAcentral also lists the same sequence under 2 other names. The record is from RNAcentral. Lineage: Bacteria; Pseudomonadati; Pseudomonadota; Gammaproteobacteria; Enterobacterales; Enterobacteriaceae.